Long non-coding RNA from Alligator sinensis (Chinese alligator), 1366 nucleotides. RefSeq lists it as uncharacterized. The transcript has 2 exons. Lineage: Eukaryota; Metazoa; Chordata; Crocodylia; Alligatoridae. The record is from RefSeq and is a predicted model, not a curated record.
GCUCGGGUGUUUUCGCUUUGAGUUUCGACAUCCUGAGGAGAAGGCGUGGGCGAGGGCAGAGAAACCGCUGUUAAUGUUCACCCGCUCCUUUUCAAACCAGACCCGGGGAGUGUCAGCCCCCCUGGCCCUGUGCUCUGGGGGGACCAGGGCUUCCUGGAAACUAGGGAGCUGAGAGGGCUGGUGGCAUGGGACCACGGUGGAGAACCUGGAAGGCCCACACUGGCUGCCGUGUCCUCCUGCCUCUCUUCUCGGGAGUCAAUCCAAGCCCUCCAGAUCCCAGGAGCCUCAUUACAAACCCCUCGGAGGAUAAACACACCACUACACCCUUCAGCAACAAGCCUUCCCCCGAUAACAAACCCUAGCCCAGAGCACUGCCAGCCCCUGCCCCAGCCCCGAGUGUGCAGUCUAGGGCUCUGCACAUGAGCCUCCUUCAUGCCCACCCUGGUCACCACCAAGGGCUGGGGGUGCACGGCUCACGCCGAGAAGCUGGGACAUUAGCAGGGGCUUUCGAGCAAACAAUUUUAGAUACUCCAGGUCCCUUCAGCACUGGAGGUCCUGCCACAUUUGAACGCAUGUCGCACCAACACCCCGGAUGGGCAGGCGUGACCUAGAUCAGCAAGCCCACAUGUGAUUGGUGAGCUCUUCCUUCCCUUCUCUAGCAGGCAACAUAAGAGUUGCUGCCUCUGUUCUGAGAGGAGCAGAGGAGACGGCUUCCACACACGAGUCAAGUCGCAUCCGAGACCCGGAGAAGAAUGAACAACGUAAAGGCUGUUCUCCUGGUCGGCACCCUCCUCCUCAUGAACCUCAUGUCUCUCUGCAUGGCUGGAGGUGUGACUAUCAAAGCCACAACUACCCCUAAGAAAAACCUGGCUGCACCCUGCUCUGCAGCAGCGCCCCUGCUCCUGGCAUUUGCGCUGAUGGCGGUGCACUUCCUCCGAGCCCGCUGAGCGAGGGCCUGACCUCCCGGUCCCGAGAUGCAUCCAGUCCCCUCCACCCACCACUGCAGUUUGCAGCGUCUCCUGGAAGCUUCGCUGCCAUUUGCCCAGCCAGCACAUCUGCUCCCUGCCACCGCCUCCCUCCGCUCAGCCUCAUUGGCCAUCCGCUUCCUGCCUCGUUUCCCACCUGAGCUGUUUGCAGCAGGGAUGCUUGCCUGACUUCAGGACACCUGCCUGACCGCAGUCCCGGACAGAAUGAACCUCCUUGCAGUGGGGGGGAGAGACAGCGGGGCGCCAGGCUGUGUUCUGUAGUGGGCUGGCACGUGUAUUGUCUGUGCCAGGCCCAGCCAUUGCAGCCUAGAAACCUGUGUCUUGGAAAUGCACUAGAAAUAAAUGCUUCGGGGGUACCUGUACCCUCAAGAGACACCCAG